RNAcentral lists this ribosomal RNA (429 nucleotides) under Acidobacteriota bacterium. RNAcentral describes it as "Acidobacteria bacterium partial 16S ribosomal RNA". It matches the Rfam family "Bacterial small subunit ribosomal RNA", at positions 355 to 776 of the family's 1533-position model. The record is from RNAcentral. Lineage: Bacteria; Pseudomonadati; Acidobacteriota.
UGGGGAAUUUUGGACAAUGGGGGAAACCCUGAUCCAGCCAUCCCGCGUGUGCGAUGAAGGCCUUCGGGUUGUAAAGCACUUUUGGCAGGAAAGAAACGUCAUGGGUUAAUACCCCGUGAAACUGACGGUACCUGCAGAAUAAGCACCGGCUAACUACGUGCCAGCAGCCGCGGUAAUACGUAGGGUGCAAGCGUUAAUCGGAAUUACUGGGCGUAAAGCGUGCGCAGGCGGUUCGGAAAGAAAGAUGUGAAAUCCCAGAGCUCAACUUUGGAACUGCAUUUUUAACUACCGGGCUAGAGUGUGUCAGAGGGAGGUGGAAUGCCGCGUGUAGCAGUGAAAUGCGUAGAUAUGCGGAGGAACACCGAUGGCGAAGGCAGCCUCCUGGGAUAACACUGACGCUCAUGAACGAAAGCGUGGGGAGCAAACAGG